AAUGGACGCAAGUCUGAACCAGCCAUGCCGCGUGCAGGAAGACGGUCUCUGGAUUGUAAACUGCUUUUAUUUGGGAAUAACCCCUCUACGUGUGAGGGCUGAAGGUACCAAAAGAAUAAGCACCGGCUAACUCCGUGCCAGCAGCCGCGGUAAUACGGAGGGUGCAAGCGUUAUCCGGAAUCAUUGGGUUUAAAGGGUCCGCAGGCGGACUUAUAAGUCAGUGGUGAAAGCCCAUCGCUUAACGAUGGAACUGCCAUUGAUACUGUAAGUCUUGAAUUCGGUCGAAGUAGGCGGAAUAUGACAUGUAGCGGUGAAAUGCUUAGAUAUGUCAUAGAACACCGAUAGCGAAGGCAGCUUACUAGGCCUGGAUUGACGCUCAUGGACGAAAGCGUGGGGAGCGAACAGGAUU
This 409-nucleotide ribosomal RNA is filed under the name uncultured Flavobacteriia bacterium. RNAcentral describes it as "bacterial SSU rRNA". It matches the Rfam family "Bacterial small subunit ribosomal RNA", at positions 370 to 779 of the family's 1533-position model. The record is from RNAcentral. Lineage: Bacteria; Pseudomonadati; Bacteroidota; Flavobacteriia.